Molecule: small RNA, 534 nt
Filed under: Pseudopithomyces diversisporus
Lineage: Eukaryota; Fungi; Ascomycota; Dothideomycetes; Pleosporales; Didymosphaeriaceae
Description: eukaryotic LSU rRNA
Rfam family: Eukaryotic large subunit ribosomal RNA
Source: RNAcentral
GCGGAGGAAAAGAAAGCAACAGCGAUAGCCUCAGUAACGGCGAGUGAAGCGGCUACAGCUCAAAUUUGAAAUCUGGCCUCCUUUGGUGGUCCGAGUUGUAAUUUGCAGAGGAUGCUUUGGCAUUGGCGGCGGUCUAAGUUCCUUGGAACAGGACAUCGCAGAGGGUGAGAAUCCCGUACGUGGGCGCCUGCCUUUGCCGUGUAAAGCUCCUUCGACGAGUCGAGUUGUUUGGGAAUGCAGCUCUAAAUGGGAGGUAAAUUUCUCCUAAAGCUAAAUACCGGCCAGAGACCGAUAGCGCACAAGUAGAGUGAUCGAAAGAUGAAAAGUACUUUGGAAAGAGAGUCAAAUAGCACGUGAAAUUGUUGAAAGGGAAGCGCUUGCAGCCAGACUUGCCCGCAGUUGCUCACCUAGGCUUUUGCCUGGGGCACUCUUCUGCGGGCAGGCCAGCAUCAGUUUGGGCGGUCGGAUAAAGGUCUCUGUCAUGUACCACCCUUCGGGGUGGCCUUAUAGGGGAGACGCAUAUGCGACCAGCCC